This is a long non-coding RNA of Felis catus (domestic cat), 2143 nucleotides long. RefSeq lists it as uncharacterized. The record is from RefSeq and is a predicted model, not a curated record. The transcript has 3 exons. NCBI's taxonomy places the organism in Eukaryota, Metazoa, Chordata, Mammalia, Carnivora, Felidae.
UACAUUCAUUCUUAAGGAAUCGGCAGAAACAGAAUUAUCCGGCCUGCUCUUUGGUUCCCCACACCCAUGUUUACAUUUCCUAACAGCUACCAACUUUGGCCUUACUUCCUCUAAAAAAAGUACAUUCUCUACAACGUUAUUACCUGCCUCCCAAGCCUGACAUAUUCUCAACCUGGUCGUGCCACCACUGGCCUUCUCAGAUUGCGGCACAACUCUUAAAAACUCAGAUUGUCUCUUCUGACUGGCUCUGUUGUUGUUUCUUCCCUCCACUCCCGCUUUAUUUUACUGGCUCCAGAACAUUUCUCAAAGUCAGUUAAAAGUCUGGCAAUAUUUCAGACAGUUUCCGAGGAUUUAUUGGGUGCUACAGGAAAACUCUCUAUGACUAGGAUUUCCAGAGAAUCCCCGGAGUCUGAGGUUGGGAAUAAAACCUAGGACUGCUCCGACCAGCGCACCGAGUAAGUCUCCAACCAGGCACAGCCACGAGAACCGAUCUGCCUUCUACAAGCGGCCACAACUCUCAGGACAGAAGCUCCUCUCCGGACUCAGCAGGCUGAGGAUAAGGGAACCCUGGCCGUCCCCAUACCAGCUCAUCUGCAAGGUGCCUGAUCGUGUGUCCCUGUGCCGUCCGGCAGGUAAGAGAAAGGUUACUCUAGAAGGAGCAGGCAGCCAGUGACCGUUUGUGGGUUUGGAGAGGGCAAGGGAGGCCACGGACCGGAAGGCCCUGCCUGGAGCCCCCCAUGCUGAAGCCUGGGGCUAGGUGAGCGUCCAGGGCCAGGCAGCCAGCCCCAUCAAGUGGCGGGUUAACCAAAGGCUGGACAAUGGCCUCUGUGUCUCCAGGGAUGCGGUCUCCUCCAGUCAAGACCUUUUUUUUUUUUAAGUUUAUUUAUUUAUCUCGAGAGAGCAAGAACAGCAGGGGAGGGGCAGAGAGAGAGGGCGACAGAAGAUCGGAAUCAGGAUCUCUGCUGACAGGAGACAGCCCGACGCAGGGCUCAAACCCCCGGACCUUGAGAUCAUGACCUGGGCCAAAGCUGGGACACUUAACCGAGUGAGCCACCCAGGCGCCCCGCCGGUCAAGAGCUUUGACAGGCGACUCUUCUGGGCCCAGUGCUAGGCCCACAGGCCUGACCCUGCCACGCAGGUGAGAACGGGUGCUCUGAGGGUAAGUGGGGAGCUGGGCCGCACGCAGCAGGGUCUGGCGGACGACUUGAGCCAACCAUCAACAUCGACGUCAAGGCAGGACAUUUGUGUCCCGCGGGGCAAAACACCUUGGAAUUGUUUCACAGUUUACCAGGGAAAUGAGACAAUAAAACAAAUCUGGCUGAACUGCAAGCAAGGACAGGAGAAAGGGGGAAACAGGUCAGGGACUGGCCGGUGUAGGCGACGGCGGCCGAUCCGGGGUGGCUCCGAGGGGCAGAGCGCAAAGCCCCACCCCACCUGCCUCUUGCCCAGCUUUCCGGGCCGAGGGGAGAGGCCGGUGCCAAGCAGUGGUGUGGCCUGGCACUCUUCCCCCUGCCUCCCGGGGCUCUCAGGGAGCCCUCCCCACCUCACCCCAGCCUAUGUGCAUCCCAACAGAGGCCGGGAACACUAGCUAAUCAGCACGACUACUGCGCAUAAAAGAUGAUUACCACUUUCAAAACAUCAAACUGCUUCCAGAUGCCAUCGGCCCUGUUCUUCUGACCUUUGUUUUGGAAGUCACGUAACAUGCAUCCUGUAUCUGGAGGGGACCCUGGAUAUCUACGCUCAAAAUAGCAUCACUGAUAAGCCUCUUUUACAUAAACACAUCCAAGGUCCUGUUGACAAAUGCAGGACCUCCAGCUAUCUGAGGGGAAAACACGAACGGCCUGGUGGAGGGCAUCUGCCAGCUCCCCUGGGGUAAUACCCCCACCGUGGCUGAUUCCCACGUGACGUCACUCAACACGGAGUGUGGAAAGAUGCGCCCCCGGACCUGCACCUGUACCUACGCACAUCUCCCCACACAGGUACGACUGACGUAAAUAACCUCGAGAGCACAGGUAACAGUAAGACCUAGUAAAGCAAUUAUAAGGGAGGAGCGUUGAGUCUUUCCAUUUUGUCUUUAAUAGGAUUUAUUUCACGGUAACUGUAUCUCAAUCUUAUUGGAAAAAAUUUAGUGUUUGUUUUUAUU